RNAcentral lists this ribosomal RNA (253 nucleotides) under uncultured bacterium. RNAcentral's name for it is "partial 16S ribosomal RNA". It matches the Rfam family "Bacterial small subunit ribosomal RNA", at positions 524 to 776 of the family's 1533-position model. The record is from RNAcentral.
UACGUAGGGUGCAGGCGUUAAUCGGAAUUACUGGGCGUAAAGCGUGCGCAGGCGGUCUUUUAAGUCAGAUGUGAAAUCCCCGGGCUUAACCUGGGAACUGCGUUUGAAACUGGAAGGCUUGAGUGUGGCAGAGGGGGGUGGAAUUCCACGUGUAGCAGUGAAAUGCGUAGAUAUGUGGAGGAACACCGAUGGCGAAGGCAGCCCCCUGGGCUAACACUGACGCUCAGGCACGAAAGCGUGGGGAGCAAACAGG